CACGUGGGCAACCUGCCCAAAAGAGGGGGAUAACACUUGGAAACAGGUGCUAAUACCGCAUAACCAUAGUUACCUCAUGGUAACUAUGUAAAAGGUGGCUAUGCUACCGCUUUUGGAUGGGCCCGCGGCGCAUUAGCUAGUUGGUGGGGUAAAGGCUUACCAAGGCAAUGAUGCGUAGCCGAACUGAGAGGUUGAUCGGCCACAUUGGGACUGAGACACGGCCCAAACUCCUACGGGAGGCAGCAGUAGGGAAUCUUCCACAAUGGGCGAAAGCCUGAUGGAGCAACGCCGCGUGGGUGAAGAAGGUCUUCGGAUCGUAAAACCCUGUUGUUAGAGAAGAAAGUGCGUGAGAGUAACUGUUCACGUUUCGACGGUAUCUAACCAGAAAGCCACGGCUAACUACGUGCCAGCAGCCGCGGUAAUACGUAGGUGGCAAGCGUUAUCCGGAUUUAUUGGGCGUAAAGGGAACGCAGGCGGUCUUUUAAGUCUGAUGUGAAAGCCUUCGGCUUAACCGGAGUAGUGCAUUGGAAACUGGGAGACUUGAGUGCAGAAGAGGAGAGUGGAACUCCAUGUGUAGCGGUGAAAUGCGCAGAUAUAUGGAAGAACACCAGUGGCGAAAGCGGCUCUCUGGUCUGUAACUGACGCUGAGGUUCGAAAGCGUGGGU
Molecule: ribosomal RNA, 665 nt
Filed under: uncultured bacterium
Lineage: Bacteria
Description: bacterial SSU rRNA
Rfam family: Bacterial small subunit ribosomal RNA
Source: RNAcentral